CCUACGGGAGUCAGCAGUGAGGAAUAUUGGUCAAUGGGCGAGAGCCUGAACCAGCCAAGUCGCGUGAGGGAGUACUGCCCUAUGGGUUGUAAACCUCUUUUGUCGGGGAGCAAAAGCCGGAAGUGUCCGGCUGUGAGAGUACCCGAAGAAAAAGCAUCGGCUAACUCCGUGCCAGCAGCAGCGGUAAUACGGAGGAUGCGAGCGUUAUCCGGAUUUAUUGGGUUUAAAGGGUGCGCAGGCGGUUUUUUAAGUCAGCGGUAAAAUGGUGGGGCUCAACCCCGUCGAGCCGUUGAAACUGGCAGACUUGAGUUGGCGAGAAGUACGCGGAAUGCGCGGUGUAGCGGUGAAAUGCAUAGAUAUCGCGCAGAACCCCGAUUGCGAAGGCAGCGUACCGGCGCCAGACUGACGCUGAGGCACGAAAGCGUGGGGAUCGAACAGGAUUAGAUACCCGUGUAGUC
This 458-nucleotide ribosomal RNA is filed under the name uncultured bacterium. Its description in RNAcentral is "partial 16S ribosomal RNA". It matches the Rfam family "Bacterial small subunit ribosomal RNA", at positions 338 to 795 of the family's 1533-position model. The record is from RNAcentral.